GGGGAAUAUUGCACAAUGGGGGAAACCCUGAUGCAGCGACGCCGCGUGGAGGAAGAAGGUCUUCGGAUUGUAAACUCCUGUUGUUGAGGAAGAUAAUGACGGUACUCAACAAGGAAGUGACGGCUAACUACGUGCCAGCAGCCGCGGUAAAACGUAGGUCACAAGCGUUGUCCGGAAUUACUGGGUGUAAAGGGAGCGCAGGCGGGAAGACAAGUUGGAAGUGAAAUCUAUGGGCUCAACCCAUAAACUGCUUUCAAAACUGUUUUUCUUGAGUAGUGCAGAGGUAGGCGGAAUUCCCGGUGUAGCGGUGGAAUGCGUAGAUAUCGGGAGGAACACCAGUGGCGAAGGCGGCCUACUGGGCACCAACUGACGCUGAGGCUCGAAAGUGUGGGUAGCAAACAGGAUUAGAUACCCAGGUAGUCCACACCGUAAACGAUGAUUACUAGGUGUUGGAGGAUUGACCCCUUCAGUGCCGCAGUUAACACAAUAAGUAAUCCACCUGGGGAGUACGACCGCAAGGUUGAAACUCAAAGGAAUUAACGGGGGCCCGCACAAGCAGUGGAGUAUGUGGUUUAAUUCGACGCAACGCGAAGAACCUUACCAAGUCUUGACAUCCUGCGACGAUGCUGGAAACAGUAUUUUCCUUCGGGACGCAGAGACAGGUGGUGCAUGGUUGUCGUCAGCUCGUGUCGUGAGAUGUUGGGUUAAGUCCCGCAACGAGCGCAACCCUUACUGUCAGUUACUACGCAAGAGGACUCUGGCAGGACUGCCGUUGACAAAACGGAGGAAGGUGGGGAUGACGUCAAAUCAUCAUGCCCUUUAUGACUUGGGCUACACACGUACUACAAUGGCGUUAAACAAAGAGAAGCAAGACCGCGAGGUGGAGCAAAACUCAGAAACAACGUCCCAGUUCGGACUGCAGGCUGCAACUCGCCUGCACGAAGCUGGAAUUGCUAGUAAUCGUGGAUCAGCAUGCCACGGUGAAUACGUUCCCG
This 995-nucleotide ribosomal RNA is filed under the name uncultured bacterium. Its description in RNAcentral is "bacterial SSU rRNA". It matches the Rfam family "Bacterial small subunit ribosomal RNA", at positions 356 to 1376 of the family's 1533-position model. The record is from RNAcentral.